RNAcentral lists this ribosomal RNA (161 nucleotides) under Nicotiana stocktonii. RNAcentral's name for it is "5.8S ribosomal RNA". The stretch from base 1 to 139 matches the Rfam family "5.8S ribosomal RNA", at positions 18 to 154 of the family's 154-position model. From Rfam's summary of the family: 5.8S ribosomal RNA (5.8S rRNA) is a component of the large subunit of the eukaryotic ribosome. It is transcribed by RNA polymerase I as part of the 45S precursor that also contains 18S and 28S rRNA. RNAcentral also lists the same sequence under 1 other name. The record is from RNAcentral. Lineage: Eukaryota; Viridiplantae; Streptophyta; Magnoliopsida; Solanales; Solanaceae.
AUCUCGGCUCUCGCAUCGAUGAAGAACGUAGCGAAAUGCGAUACUUGGUGUGAAUUGCAGAAUCCCGUGAACCAUCGAGUCUUUGAACGCAAGUUGCGCCCGAAGCCAUUAGGUCGAGGGCACGUCUGCCUGGGCGUCACGCAUCGCGUCGCCCCCGCACA